Molecule: ribosomal RNA, 510 nt
Filed under: bacterium enrichment culture clone ALO1_GLFRUDD03GZ4KA
Lineage: Bacteria
Description: bacterial SSU rRNA
Rfam family: Bacterial small subunit ribosomal RNA
Source: RNAcentral
GAGUUUGAUCUUGGCUCAGAUUGAACGCUGGCGGCAUGCCUUACACAUGCAAGUCGAACGGCAGCACGGGAGCUUGCUCCUGGUGGCGAGUGGCGAACGGGUGAGUAAUGCAUCGGAACGUAUCCUGGAGUGGGGGAUAACGUAGCGAAAGUUACGCUAAUACCGCAUAUUCUGUGAGCAGGAAAGCGGGGGACCUUCGGGCCUCGCGCUCUUGGAGCGGCCGAUGUCGGAUUAGCUAGUUGGUGAGGUAAAGGCUCACCAAGGCGACGAUCCGUAGCAGGUCUGAGAGGAUGAUCUGCCACACUGGAACUGAGACACGGUCCAGACUCCUACGGGAGGCAGCAGUGGGGAAUUUUGGACAAUGGGGGCAACCCUGAUCCAGCCAUGCCGCGUGAGUGAAGAAGGCCCUCGGGUUGUAAAGCUCUUUCGCGAGGGAAGAAAUUGCACCGGACAAUACCUGGUGUAGAUGACGGUACCUUGAUAAGAAGCACCGGCUAACUACGUGCCACG